UACGGAGGGGGCUAGCGUUGUUCGGAAUUACUGGGCGUAAAGCGCACGUAGGCGGCUAUUCAAGUCAGAGGUGAAAGCCUGGAGCUCAACUCCAGAACUGCCUUUGAAACUAGAUAGCUAGAAUCAUGGAGAGGUGAGUGGAAUUCCGAGUGUAGAGGUGAAAUUCGUAGAUAUUCGCAAGAACACCAGUGGCGAAGGCGGCUUACUGGUCCGGUUCUGACGCUGAGGCGCGAAAGCGUGGGGAGCAAACAGG
This 253-nucleotide ribosomal RNA is filed under the name uncultured bacterium. RNAcentral describes it as "partial 16S ribosomal RNA". It matches the Rfam family "Bacterial small subunit ribosomal RNA", at positions 524 to 776 of the family's 1533-position model. The record is from RNAcentral.